RNAcentral lists this long non-coding RNA (361 nucleotides) under Cyanistes caeruleus (blue tit). RNAcentral describes it as "lncRNA (ENSCCEG00000023463.1)". The record is from RNAcentral. Lineage: Eukaryota; Metazoa; Chordata; Aves; Passeriformes; Paridae.
CUCCGCGCCGCCGCCCAUCUCCUCUGCCACCAUGUCUCUCUGCCGGGCCGCCUCGCUGGCGCUGGCCUCCCGCCUGAGCAGGGCUCCCGCCGCCGCCAGCCGCCUCAAGCAGCGUGCACCUCCUCGCCAGAUGUCAUCUGGGAGUGUUCCUGGCUCUUCUGGAGACAGGAUGACGAUCUAUCUCCUUGCUGGUGUUGCAGCUUUUGGUGGUUUAUUUUAUGCCUACAGAGUAGUCAAUUCAUCCCACAGCAAGUUUAUCAAACAUACAAAUAUUCUUCAUGAGAGAGCAGAGGGGCAGAAGAACAAUCCUUGGUCAAGGAAGGACACAAGGGAAAACUCUUUCCAAACCUGUGGAAGUUAA